Small nuclear RNA from Talpa occidentalis (Iberian mole), 108 nucleotides. NCBI's taxonomy places the organism in Eukaryota, Metazoa, Chordata, Mammalia, Eulipotyphla, Talpidae. The record is from RefSeq and is a predicted model, not a curated record.
GUGUUUGCUUCAGCAGCACAUAUACUAAAACUGGAAGGACACAGAGAAGAUUAACAUGGCCUCUGCAUGAGGAUGACACACACAUUCAUAAAGCAUAUAAAAAAAUAU